GCUCCCUGCAUCCCCAGCCACCUGUCCCAUUGCAUCCCAAUUGAAUCUGAAGAAGAUGGAGAAUGGGACAUUGCAGGGGCAUGGCACACUGUGGGUGACAUCAAAUCCUAAGGAACAGUGGCUGAACUAUUCCUGCAGGGCCAGCAGCUCCCACACUGGCUGCAGCCUGUAGGGAAACAGUGCCCCUUUUUUUUUUUCCCAGCAGGCUGCCCUUAGCUUUAGUCAUUAUCCCCCUGCAACCCUCAGAGCCCAAACCCCAACCCUUCUGCUUGCACGAAACACGCAGUUCAGCCCGGAUUUAGUCAGGAGCUUGCCAAAACACCCAAAAGCACAGCGUGCCAAGGGUCCAGCCCCCAAAGCUGUGGCUCCUCUGAGGGCUGGCGGUGCAGCAGGGCUGUGCACAAGGCGCCCUUGUCCCCUGUGCCGUGGAACAAAGGCCGCUGCUGUGCGCUAAUGCUGGCGGCUUGGCGGCAGGCAGGGGGGUGAUGGGGCGGGCACGGGGUGGAUUAGCCUCCAGUGAUCCCACAGGGAGCUUUCUGAGCACCCUGCAGCUCCCAGACGCUGGAGGUUUCUCCACAGUUCCCUGGUGCUCCGGGCAGGUGCCGGCAAGAGGCCACCGCCAGCGUCCCCGCAGGCUGAGCGAGCGGCUGGUGCAGAGCAGGACACCGGUGGCAAUGCUCACCUAG
Molecule: long non-coding RNA, 686 nt
Filed under: Anas platyrhynchos platyrhynchos (common mallard)
Lineage: Eukaryota; Metazoa; Chordata; Aves; Anseriformes; Anatidae
Description: lncRNA (ENSAPLG00000018864.1)
Source: RNAcentral